UAGAAGGCUUCCCCGCUGUUCAUGGUGUGACGCGAGGCGCAGGGUCACAUGGCCCGUGACGCCAGCGUCAUCACCAUAGUUACACAACAAUGCUGGAAAGAAGGCACUCCUCCCCAUCGAGGGGCGGAUUGCCAUGCCCACUAGCCCCAUCCCGCCCCCUCCAGCAGAACGAUUGUAAACAGCAGAUGGCAAUCCCAUCUGAUCAGAAUCCCUGGGAGGGGCCGAGCUACACGGCCCUCCCAGGUCAUGUCCACCCCAUAAAUAGAGCCAACAUAUGACCAGUUCUCCCAGCACCCUGCGAGCUGAAGGGAGUAACGCUGGUAUUACAAUACCCCAAUCACGGUGAGUGCCUGUUCUACCUUAUACUCAAACAAGCCUUUUUGUAACCAACCUAACCUCACUCUAGCAUGUACCUCUCCUUACCAUGCAUGCCUCAGUUUCUAUCUAUAUACGUCUGCUCCACAGGCAUUCGGCACCAGGUUCCUCUCUACAUAUAGAGCCCGGGAUUCCCCCUAGCAACUCUAAGAGGAUCGUCCGCAUUGGACUCAGUAAACCCCCUGACCUGCUGCACUUUUGCCCUAACAAGCCCUACAUUUGGGAUACCGUGUGUUUGGGAUCAAUCGGAGCCAUCCCUCCCCUUUCUCUUUUCUUACUUAUGAGACCCCAUAAGUCGGCCCUGGGGAUAUCCUAAACCGACAAGUUGAGGGUCAAUUUUCAAACCCUGGUUUACCACAAACGAGAGAGAAAAACAGCUUGUAAUCACACACUCCUGUGGCCCCUGAUGAAGGUCUGUUGCUCCAUCAAUAGACCAGAAACGCGUCGGGCAUUUCUCCACUACUCUCUACAGAGUGUUUUUUAAUCUAAUUGUAUUGUAUCUUC
Long non-coding RNA from Rana temporaria (common frog), 879 nucleotides. RefSeq lists it as uncharacterized. NCBI's taxonomy places the organism in Eukaryota, Metazoa, Chordata, Amphibia, Anura, Ranidae. The record is from RefSeq and is a predicted model, not a curated record. The transcript has 3 exons.